UACGUAGGGGGCAAGCGUUAUCCGGAUUUACUGGGUGUAAAGGGAGCGUAGACGGUUAUGCAAGUCAGAAGUGAAAGCCCAAAGCUCAACUUCGGGACUGCUUUUGAAACUGUGUAACUAGAGUGCGGGAGGGGUAAGCGGAAUUCCUAGUGUAGCGGUGAAAUGCGUAGAUAUUAGGAGGAACACCGGCGGCGAAGGCGGCUUACUGGACUGUAACUGACGUUGAGGCUCGAAAGCGUGGGGAGCAAACAGG
RNAcentral lists this ribosomal RNA (253 nucleotides) under uncultured bacterium. RNAcentral's name for it is "partial 16S ribosomal RNA". It matches the Rfam family "Bacterial small subunit ribosomal RNA", at positions 524 to 776 of the family's 1533-position model. The record is from RNAcentral.